AAAUUGAAGUAGUUUGAUCAUGGCUCAGAUUGAACGCUGGCGGCAGGCCUAACACAUGCAAGUCGGGCGGUAGCACAGAAGAGCUUGCUCUUUGGGUGACGAGCGGCGGACGGGUGAGUAAUGUCUGGGAAACUGCCUGAUGGAGGGGGAUAACUACUGGAAACGGUAGCUAAUACCGCAUAACCUCGCAAGAGCAAAGAGGGGGACCUUCGGGCCUCUCGCCAUCAGAUGUGCCCAGAUGGGAUUAGCUAGUAGGUGAGGUAAUGGCUCACCUAGGCGACGAUCCCUAGCUGGUCUGAGAGGAUGACCAGCCACACUGGAACUGAGACACGGUCCAGACUCCUACGGGAGGCAGCAGUGGGGAAUAUUGCACAAUGGGCGCAAGCCUGAUGCAGCCAUGCCGCGUGUGUGAAGAAGGCCUUCGGGUUGUAAAGCACUUUCAGCGGGGAGGAAGGCGGUAAGGUUAAUAACCUUAUCGAUUGACGUUACCCGCAGAAGAAGCACCGGCUAACUCCGUGCCAGCAGCCGCGGUAAUACGGAGAGUGCAAGCGUUAAUCGGAAUGACUGGGCGUAAAGCGCACGCAGGCGGUCUGUUAAGUUGGAUGUGAAAUCCCCGGGCUUAACCUGGGAACUGCAUUCAAAACUGACAGGCUAGAGUCUUGUAGAGGGGGGUAGAAUUCCAGGUGUAGCGGUGAAAUGCGUAGAGAUCUGGAGGAAUACCGGUGGCGAAGGCGGCCCCCUGGACAAAGACUGACGCUCAGGUGCGAAAGCGUGGGGAGCAAACAGGAUUAGAUACCCUGGUAGUCCACGCUGUAAACGAUGUCGAUUUGGAGGUUGUGCCCUUGAGGCGUGGCUUCCGGAGCUAACGCGUUAAAUCGACCGCCUGGGGAGUACGGCCGCAAGGUUAAAACUCAAAUGAAUUGACGGGGGCCCGCACAAGCGGUGGAGCAUGUGGUUUAAUUCGAUGCAACGCGAAGAACCUUACCUACUCUUGACAUCCAGAGAACUUAGCAGAGAUGCUUUGGUGCCUUCGGGAACUCUGAGACAGGUGCUGCAUGGCUGUCGUCAGCUCGUGUUGUGAAAUGUUGGGUUAAGUCCCGCAACGAGCGCAACCCUUAUCCUUUGUUGCCAGCGAUUCGGUCGGGAACUCAAAGGAGACUGCCGGUGAUAAACCGGAGGAAGGUGGGGAUGACGUCAAGUCAUCAUGGCCCUUACGAGUAGGGCUACACACGUGCUACAAUGGCGUAUACAAAGAGAAGCGACCUCGCGAGAGCAAGCGGACCUCAUAAAGUACGUCGUAGUCCGGAUUGGAGUCUGCAACUCGACUCCAUGAAGUCGGAAUCGCUAGUAAUCGUAGAUCAGAAUGCUACGGUGAAUACGUUCCCGGGCCUUGUACACACCGCCCGUCACACCAUGGGAGUGGGUUGCAAAAGAAGUAGGUAGCUUAACCUUCGGGAGGGCGCUUACCACUUUGUGAUUCAUGACUGGGGUGAAGUCGUAACAAGGUAACCGUAGGGGAACCUGCGGUUGGAUCACCUCCUUA
RNAcentral lists this ribosomal RNA (1543 nucleotides) under Pectobacterium carotovorum subsp. carotovorum PCC21. RNAcentral describes it as "bacterial SSU rRNA". It matches the Rfam family "Bacterial small subunit ribosomal RNA". Lineage: Bacteria; Pseudomonadati; Pseudomonadota; Gammaproteobacteria; Enterobacterales; Pectobacteriaceae. The record is from RNAcentral.